RNAcentral lists this ribosomal RNA (1372 nucleotides) under uncultured bacterium. RNAcentral describes it as "bacterial SSU rRNA". It matches the Rfam family "Bacterial small subunit ribosomal RNA", at positions 28 to 1381 of the family's 1533-position model. The record is from RNAcentral.
GAUGAACGCUGGCGGCGUGCCUAAUACAUGCAAGUCGAGCGAACGGACGAGAAGCUUGCUUCUCUGAUGUUAGCGGCGGACGGGUGAGUAACACGUGGAUAACCUACCUAUAAGACUGGGAUAACUUCGGGAAACCGGAGCUAAUACCGGAUAAUAUUUCGAACCGCAUGGUUCAAAAGUGAAAGACGGUCUUGCUGUCACUUAUAGAUGGAUCCGCGCUGCAUUAGCUAGUUGGUAAGGUAACGGCUUACCAAGGCAACGAUGCAUAGCCGACCUGAGAGGGUGAUCGGCCACACUGGAACUGAGACACGGUCCAGACUCCUACGGGAGGCAGCAGUAGGGAAUCUUCCGCAAUGGGCGAAAGCCUGACGGAGCAACGCCGCGUGAGUGAUGAAGGUCUUCGGAUCGUAAAACUCUGUUAUUAGGGAAGAACAUAUGUGUAAGUAACUGUGCACAUCUUGACGGUACCUAAUCAGAAAGCCACGGCUAACUACGUGCCAGCAGCCGCGGUAAUACGUAGGUGGCAAGCGUUAUCCGGAAUUAUUGGGCGUAAAGCGCGCGUAGGCGGUUUUUUAAGUCUGAUGUGAAAGCCCACGGCUCAACCGUGGAGGGUCAUUGGAAACUGGAAAACUUGAGUGCAGAAGAGGAAAGUGGAAUUCCAUGUGUAGCGGUGAAAUGCGCAGAGAUAUGGAGGAACACCAGUGGCGAAGGCGACUUUCUGGUCUGUAACUGACGCUGAUGUGCGAAAGCGUGGGGAUCAAACAGGAUUAGAUACCCUGGUAGUCCACGCCGUAAACGAUGAGUGCUAAGUGUUAGGGGGUUUCCGCCCCUUAGUGCUGCAGCUAACGCAUUAAGCACUCCGCCUGGGGAGUACGACCGCAAGGUUGAAACUCAAAGGAAUUGACGGGGACCCGCACAAGCGGUGGAGCAUGUGGUUUAAUUCGAAGCAACGCGAAGAACCUUACCAAAUCUUGACAUCCUUUGACAACUCUAGAGAUAGAGCCUUCCCCUUCGGGGGACAAAGUGACAGGUGGUGCAUGGUUGUCGUCAGCUCGUGUCGUGAGAUGUUGGGUUAAGUCCCGCAACGAGCGCAACCCUUAAGCUUAGUUGCCAUCAUUAAGUUGGGCACUCUAAGUUGACUGCCGGUGACAAACCGGAGGGAGGUGGGGAUGACGUCAAAUCAUCAUGCCCCUUAUGAUUUGGGCUACACACGUGCUACAAUGGACAAUACAAAGGGCAGCGAAACCGCGAGGUCAAGCAAAUCCCAUAAAGUUGUUCUCAGUUCGGAUUGUAGUCUGCAACUCGACUACAUGAAGCUGGAAUCGCUAGUAAUCGUAGAUCAGCAUGCUACGGUGAAUACGUUCCCGGGUCU